ACACGACUCUCGGCAACGGAUAUCUCGGCUCUCGCAUCGAUGAAGAACGUAGCGAAAUGCGAUACCUGGUGUGAAUUGCAGAAUCCCGCGAACCAUCGAGUCUUUGAACGCAAGUUGCGCCCGAGGCCACCAGGCCGAGGGCACGCCUGCCUGGGCGUCACGC
RNAcentral lists this ribosomal RNA (163 nucleotides) under Sylvipoa queenslandica. RNAcentral describes it as "5.8S ribosomal RNA". It matches the Rfam family "5.8S ribosomal RNA". Rfam says of the family: 5.8S ribosomal RNA (5.8S rRNA) is a component of the large subunit of the eukaryotic ribosome. The record is from RNAcentral. Lineage: Eukaryota; Viridiplantae; Streptophyta; Magnoliopsida; Poales; Poaceae.